RNAcentral lists this ribosomal RNA (2665 nucleotides) under Escherichia coli. RNAcentral describes it as "partial 23S ribosomal RNA". It matches the Rfam family "Bacterial large subunit ribosomal RNA". The record is from RNAcentral. Lineage: Bacteria; Pseudomonadati; Pseudomonadota; Gammaproteobacteria; Enterobacterales; Enterobacteriaceae.
GGGUUGUGAGGUUAAGCGACUAAGCGUACACGGUGGAUGCCCUGGCAGUCAGAGGCGAUGAAGGACGUGCUAAUCUGCGAUAAGCGUCGGUAAGGUGAUAUGAACCGUUAUAACCGGCGAUUUCCGAAUGGGGAAACCCAGUGUGAUUCGUCACACUAUCAUUAACUGAAUCCAUAGGUUAAUGAGGCGAACCGGGGGAACUGAAACAUCUAAGUACCCCGAGGAAAAGAAAUCAACCGAGAUUCCCCCAGUAGCGGCGAGCGAACGGGGAGGAGCCCAGAGCCUGAAUCAGUGUGUGUGUUAGUGGAAGCGUCUGGAAAGGCGCGCGAUACAGGGUGACAGCCCCGUACACAAAAAUGCACAUGCUGUGAGCUCGAUGAGUAGGGCGGGACACGUGGUAUCCUGUCUGAAUAUGGGGGGACCAUCCUCCAAGGCUAAAUACUCCUGACUGACCGAUAGUGAACCAGUACCGUGAGGGAAAGGCGAAAAGAACCCCGGCGAGGGGAGUGAAAAAGAACCUGAAACCGUGUACGUACAAGCAGUGGGAGCCUCUUAAUGGGGUGACUGCGUACCUUUUGUAUAAUGGGUCAGCGACUUAUAUUCUGUAGCAAGGUUAACCGAAUAGGGGAGCCGAAGGGAAACCGAGUCUUAACUGGGCGUUAAGUUGCAGGGUAUAGACCCGAAACCCGGUGAUCUAGCCAUGGGCAGGUUGAAGGUUGGGUAACACUAACUGGAGGACCGAACCGACUAAUGUUGAAAAAUUAGCGGAUGACUUGUGGCUGGGGGUGAAAGGCCAAUCAAACCGGGAGAUAGCUGGUUCUCCCCGAAAGCUAUUUAGGUAGCGCCUCGUGAAUUCAUCUCCGGGGGUAGAGCACUGUUUCGGCAAGGGGGUCAUCCCGACUUACCAACCCGAUGCAAACUGCGAAUACCGGAGAAUGUUAUCACGGGAGACACACGGCGGGUGCUAACGUCCGUCGUGAAGAGGGAAACAACCCAGACCGCCAGCUAAGGUCCCAAAGUCAUGGUUAAGUGGGAAACGAUGUGGGAAGGCCCAGACAGCCAGGAUGUUGGCUUAGAAGCAGCCAUCAUUUAAAGAAAGCGUAAUAGCUCACUGGUCGAGUCGGCCUGCGCGGAAGAUGUAACGGGGCUAAACCAUGCACCGAAGCUGCGGCAGCGACACUAUGUGUUGUUGGGUAGGGGAGCGUUCUGUAAGCCUGUGAAGGUGGCCUGUGAGGGUUGCUGGAGGUAUCAGAAGUGCGAAUGCUGACAUAAGUAACGAUAAAGCGGGUGAAAAGCCCGCUCGCCGGAAGACCAAGGGUUCCUGUCCAACGUUAAUCGGGGCAGGGUGAGUCGACCCCUAAGGCGAGGCCGAAAGGCGUAGUCGAUGGGAAACAGGUUAAUAUUCCUGUACUUGGUGUUACUGCGAAGGGGGGACGGAGAAGGCUAUGUUGGCCGGGCGACGGUUGUCCCGGUUUAAGCGUGUAGGCUGGUUUUCCAGGCAAAUCCGGAAAACCAAGGCUGAGGCGUGAUGACGAGGCACUACGGUGCUGAAGUGACAAAUGCCCUGCUUCCAGGAAAAGCCUCUAAGCAUCAGGUAACAUCAAAUCGUACCCCAAACCGACACAGGUGGUCAGGUAGAGAAUACCAAGGCGCUUGAGAGAACUCGGGUGAAGGAACUAGGCAAAAUGGUGCCGUAACUUCGGGAGAAGGCACGCUGAUAUGUAGGUGAAGCGACUUGCUCGUGGAGCUGAAAUCAGUCGAAGAUACCAGCUGGCUGCAACUGUUUAUUAAAAACACAGCACUGUGCAAACACGAAAGUGGACGUAUACGGUGUGACGCCUGCCCGGUGCCGGAAGGUUAAUUGAUGGGGUUAGCGGUAACGCGAAGCUCUUGAUCGAAGCCCCGGUAAACGGCGGCCGUAACUAUAACGGUCCUAAGGUAGCGAAAUUCCUUGUCGGGUAAGUUCCGACCUGCACGAAUGGCGUAAUGAUGGCCAGGCUGUCUCCACCCGAGACUCAGUGAAAUUGAACUCGCUGUGAAGAUGCAGUGUACCCGCGGCAAGACGGAAAGACCCCGUGAACCUUUACUAUAGCUUGACACUGAACAUUGAGCCUUGAUGUGUAGGAUAGGUGGGAGGCUUUGAAGUGUGGACGCCAGUCUGCAUGGAGCCGACCUUGAAAUACCACCCUUUAAUGUUUGAUGUUCUAACGUUGGCCCCUAAUCGGGGUUGCGGACAGUGUCUGGUGGGUAGUUUGACUGGGGCGGUCUCCUCCUAAAGAGUAACGGAGGAGCACGAAGGUUGGCUAAUCCUGGUCGGACAUCAGGAGGUUAGUGCAAUGGCAUAAGCCAGCUUGACUGCGAGCGUGACGGCGCGAGCAGGUGCGAAAGCAGGUCAUAGUGAUCCGGUGGUUCUGAAUGGAAGGGCCAUCGCUCAACGGAUAAAAGGUACUCCGGGGAUAACAGGCUGAUACCGCCCAAGAGUUCAUAUCGACGGCGGUGUUUGGCACCUCGAUGUCGGCUCAUCACAUCCUGGGGCUGAAGUAGGUCCCAAGGGUAUGGCUGUUCGCCAUUUAAAGUGGUACGCGAGCUGGGUUUAGAACGUCGUGAGACAGUUCGGUCCCUAUCUGCCGUGGGCGCUGGAGAACUGAGGGGGGCUGCUCCUAGU